GGUCAGGUGACCGGGGUCACAUGAGCGGUGGUCAUGUGACUUUCUGAGGUUAUUUUUCAUUCUGAGAUUUUAAAUCGGCGGCAGCACCGCAAAGCGACAGACAGGUGAACAGGAGACAAACAGACAGGAGACAGGAGACAGACAGGAGACAGACAGGUGAACAGGAGACAGACAGGAGACAGGAGACAGAUGCAGCGGCUGGUGUUGUGUGUCUUCCUGUCCUCCCUGCUGGGGGGGGAUGGCAGGGGGGGCGUGGCCGCGGCUCCGGCUGCAGACGAGGUGACCUACCUGCCCGGUCUGCAGAAACAGCCAAGUUUCCGACAUUACUCGGGGUACCUGAACGUAGCUGACGGAAAACACCU
Molecule: long non-coding RNA, 362 nt
Organism: Etheostoma cragini (Arkansas darter)
Lineage: Eukaryota; Metazoa; Chordata; Actinopteri; Perciformes; Percidae
Exons: 2
Source: RefSeq, a predicted model, not a curated record